GACGAACCGUGCGAACGUUAUUCGGAAUCACUGGGCUUAAAGGGUGCGUAGGCGGGUUGCCAAGUCUGUGGUGAAAUCCUCCAGCUUAACUGGAGAACUGCCGUGGAUACUGGCGACCUCGAGGGGUGUAGGGGCUUGCGGAACUGUGCGUGGAGCGGUGAAAUGCGUUGAUAUGCACAGGAACUCCGGUGGCGAAAGCGGCGAGCUGGACACCUUCUGACGCUGAGGCACGAAAGCCAGGGGAGCAAACGGG
RNAcentral lists this ribosomal RNA (253 nucleotides) under uncultured bacterium. RNAcentral describes it as "partial 16S ribosomal RNA". It matches the Rfam family "Bacterial small subunit ribosomal RNA", at positions 524 to 776 of the family's 1533-position model. The record is from RNAcentral.